Molecule: ribosomal RNA, 183 nt
Filed under: uncultured Pseudomonadales bacterium
Lineage: Bacteria; Pseudomonadati; Pseudomonadota; Gammaproteobacteria; Pseudomonadales
Description: partial 16S ribosomal RNA
Rfam family: Bacterial small subunit ribosomal RNA
Source: RNAcentral
UUACGAAAGGAACGACUAAUACCGCAUACGUCUACGGGAGAAAGCAGGGGACCUUCGGGCCUUGCGCUAUCAGAUGAGCCUAGGUCGGAUUAGCUAGUUGGUGAGGUAAUGGCUCACCAAGGCGACGAUCCGUAACUGGUCUGAGAGGAUGAUCAGUCACACUGGAACUGAGACACGGUCCAG